Homo sapiens (human) is the source of this 1827-nucleotide long non-coding RNA. NCBI's taxonomy places the organism in Eukaryota, Metazoa, Chordata, Mammalia, Primates, Hominidae. The record is from Ensembl.
ACUGCGAGGCAGGCAGUGAUGCUGCGGCCGCUUCGCACUGUGGCUCCUGCCGACCGCCAGGCGCUGUUACAGUGGAUGCGAACUAACCGUAAGUCAUUAUAUCGUACUGCAGAAACCAGCUCAACUAUGCAAAACUACCACCAGGACUGGCCGACACCAGGAGGGAUUCCAGAGACCACACUGCAGGGAGCAUACAGAAAGAAAAUUAAGAGAUCAGAUGCAGCAGCAGCCGGAACCCACAGUUCACCUUGGUGCAUUCCUUUAUGAUGAAGACUUAUUGAUUCAUUAUAUGAGAAAGGAAAAAUGAGCAGAAACUACUGUAUGAUGUGCAGCUCACACCAGACAGCAACUUUAGUCUCACUCUGUCACCUGGCUGGAGUUUAGUGACACGAUCUUAGCUCCCUGCAACCUCUGCCUCCUGAGUUCAAGUGAUUCUCCUACCUCAGCCUCCUGAGUAGCUGGAAUUACAGAGUAAUUUAUCCCUACUUACAGAGAGAUUGCCCUACGUGUAACAGCUGCAUACAAAAAAGUUAUAAAAUUAUCAUUGGUUUAACAAGGAUAAGUGAAAAACAUUAAAAUUCUCCAACUGAACAAGGUGUGUCUGUUUCAUUGAUUGGCUGACUGUCAAAUCGGAAUCUGAUCUGCCCCAUUGACAAUGCCUUGGGCUUUUCCUCGGCCAUGGCAAAUGCCAGAGUCUUCUCAGCUGCCGCUUCACAAAAGAGGUACCAGCUUCUCACUGAACGAACACAGUGCAGCACCAGGAGUGACAGAAGAAGGAGGCGGCAGCGGUGGUUGAGGGACAGGGUGCGUGCACGUCCAAGUACAGUUCUUAAAAUGUUGAGGGCAUACAACAUAUGCUCAAUAAAUACCUGAUUUUUAAAAAAGACAAUGACUAUGGAAAACUCUUGAUCAUUAACCCGAAGGGAGAGUCUAGUUUCCAGGAAGCAUUUGUUUGUAUACACUAUUUAACCCAAGGAUACACUCUUUUCUCCGUGGCAGCGUGACUCAUCUUAGUCUCCAAUUUUUGACCUGGUCCACUGGAGGGCAGUGGCGUGAUUACAGCUCACUGCAUCCUCGACCUCCCAAGCUCAAGCCAUCCUCCCACCUCAGCCCCUCAAGUAGCUGGGACAACAGGCACCAGCAUGCCCAGCUAAUUUUUGUAUAUUUUGUAGAGAAGGGGUCUCACCAUGUUGCCCAGGCUAAUCUCGAACUACUGAGCUCAAGCAAUCUGACCACCUUGGCCUCCCAAAGUGCUAGGAUUAUAGGAGUGAGCCACCACGCCCAGCCUCCAUUAGCAUUUUAACCUACUUAAGUUUCUGCCAUCAGCACCACAAACAAAACCAGAAUAUUCUUUGACCUUUUAUCUCUCUCAGCUACUGCCCUGUUCUUCUCACCUAACCUUCUUGAAAGAAUUGUAUACACUCACUAUUCUUCACUUCCCACUCAUUCUUUGGUCCACUGCCAGCUGCCUUUGACCACUAACAUUCCUCUACAAGGCCACUAACAACACCCGAGUCUCAGAAAUCCAAUAAACACUUUUAAAAAAAUUGAGAUAUGAUUCAAAUUUCAUAAAAUCUCAUAAAAUCCUAUAAGACUCACCUUUUAAAGUGUAUAAUGUAUCUUUUAAAGUGUACAAUGCAGUGUUUUUUAGUAUAUUCAUAAAUUCAUUCAACUAUUACCAUUUAAUUUCAGAACAUUCUCAUCACUCCUGUAUCCAUUAGCAGUCACUACCAAUUCCCCCUCCCUACAGCCCUUGACAACUGCUAAUCUAUUUUCCACCUCUACAGAGUUUCCUAUUCUGGACAUUUAAUAUAAACUGAAUCAUAC